UAUUUAACAACUCGUGUGACAUGGGCAC
RNAcentral lists this non-coding RNA (28 nucleotides) under Mus musculus (house mouse). The record is from RNAcentral. Lineage: Eukaryota; Metazoa; Chordata; Mammalia; Rodentia; Muridae.